RNAcentral lists this ribosomal RNA (304 nucleotides) under uncultured bacterium. Its description in RNAcentral is "partial 16S ribosomal RNA". It matches the Rfam family "Bacterial small subunit ribosomal RNA", at positions 506 to 807 of the family's 1533-position model. The record is from RNAcentral.
CAGCAGCCGCCGCGGUAAUACGUAGGGUGCAAGCGUUAAUCGGAAUUACUGGGCGUAAAGCGUGCGCAGGCGGUUAUAUAAGACAGAUGUGAAAUCCCCGGGCUCAACCUGGGAACUGCAUUUGUGACUGUAUAGCUAGAGUACGGCAGAGGGGGAUGGAAUUCCGCGUGUAGCAGUGAAAUGCGUAGAUAUGCGGAGGAACACCGAUGGCGAAGGCAAUCCCCUGGGCCUGUACUGACGCUCAUGCACGAAAGCGUGGGGAGCAAACAGGAUUAGAUACCCGUGUAGUCCCUGUCUCUUAUAC